GGUUUCUUAGUGUAGUGGUCAACACAUAAAUGGAAUUUUUCAAUGAAAGACGUCAGUUCGAAUCUGGCAGAAACCG
Molecule: non-coding RNA, 76 nt
Organism: Pilobolus umbonatus
Lineage: Eukaryota; Fungi; Mucoromycota; Mucoromycetes; Mucorales; Pilobolaceae
Source: the annotation of a GenBank genome assembly